AUUGAACGCUGGCGGCAUGCUUUACACAUGCAAGUCGAACGGUAACAGGUUAAGCUGACGAGUGGCGAACGGGUGAGUAAUGCAUCGGAACGUGCCCGGUCGUGGGGGAUAACGCAGCGAAAGCUGCGCUAAUACCGCAUACGAUCUGAGGAUGAGAGCGGGGGACCGUAAGGCCUCGCGCGAUCGGAGCGGCCGAUGUCAGAUUAGGUAGUUGGUGGGGUAAAGGCUCACCAAGCCGACGAUCUGUAGCUGGUCUGAGAGGACGACCAGCCCCACUGGGACUGAGACACGGCCCAGACUCCUACGGGAGGCAGCAGUGGGGAAUUUUGGACAAUGGGCGCAAGCCUGAUCCAGCAAUGCCGCGUGCAGGAAGAAGGCCUUCGGGUUGUAAACUGCUUUUGUACGGAGCGAAAAGGCUCUCUCUAAUACAGGGGGCUCAUGACGGUACCGUAAGAAUAAGCACCGGCUAACUACGUGCCAGCAGCCGCAGUAA
RNAcentral lists this ribosomal RNA (493 nucleotides) under uncultured bacterium. RNAcentral's name for it is "partial 16S ribosomal RNA". It matches the Rfam family "Bacterial small subunit ribosomal RNA", at positions 29 to 523 of the family's 1533-position model. The record is from RNAcentral.